CCUUAGGUCCCGAGCGUUGUCCGGAUUUAUUGGGCGUAAAGCGAGCGCAGGCGGUUAGAUAAGUCUGAAGUUAAAGGCUGUGGCUUAACCAUAGUACGCUUUGGAAACUGUUUAACUUGAGUGCAAGAGGGGAGAGUGGAAUUCCAUGUGAAGCGGUGAAAUGCGUAGAUAUAUGGAGGGAGACCGGAGAGGAGAGCGGCCAAAUGGCUUGUAACUGACGCUGAGGCUGGAAAGCGUGGGGAGCAAACAG
RNAcentral lists this ribosomal RNA (250 nucleotides) under uncultured prokaryote. RNAcentral describes it as "partial 16S rRNA". It matches the Rfam family "Bacterial small subunit ribosomal RNA", at positions 525 to 775 of the family's 1533-position model. The record is from RNAcentral.